GACGAACGCUGGCGGCGUGCUUAACACAUGCAAGUGGAGCGACGAACCAGGCUUCGGCCUGGGGCAGAGCCGCGAACGGGUGAGUAACACGUGGGUAACCUGCCCUGAUGAUCGGGACAACCCGGGGAAACCCGGGCUAAUACCGAAUGUGCCCGCGAGCCGCAAGGCUUGCGAGGAAAGGAAGCUUCGGCCUCCGCAUCGGGAUGGGCCCGCGGCCCAUUAGCUUGUUGGUGGGGUAACGGCCUACCAAGGCAGCAAUGGGUAGCUGGUCUGAGAGGACGAUCAGCCACACUGGGACUGAGACACGGCCCAGACUCCUACGGGAGGCAGCAGUGGGGAAUCUUGCGCAAUGCGCGAAAGCGUGACGCAGCAACGCCGCGUGGGGAAGAC
Molecule: ribosomal RNA, 390 nt
Filed under: uncultured bacterium
Lineage: Bacteria
Description: bacterial SSU rRNA
Rfam family: Bacterial small subunit ribosomal RNA
Source: RNAcentral